Pollicipes pollicipes is the source of this 413-nucleotide long non-coding RNA. RefSeq lists it as uncharacterized. The transcript has 3 exons. The record is from RefSeq and is a predicted model, not a curated record. NCBI's taxonomy places the organism in Eukaryota, Metazoa, Arthropoda, Thecostraca, Pollicipedomorpha, Pollicipedidae.
AGGGGGCGGACAGCAGACAGCGGACGGCCGGGCCGUACACGGAGGCGACGGGCGGCGCCAACCGCGUGACUGCGUGCUGUCUCCAGCGGCACCGGCGGACGCGGCGGCCGUCAUCGUGUGUGACGCGUCGACUGACGGGGCCUCUGGCACCGGACGGGGGUCGGCGAGCGGUCUGUGAGCGGCCGAUGCGGCGCCAUGUGAGCGGUGAGGCCCGCCAGUGACGCCCGCGGACAAACAGUGACGAGCGACAGCGGCCCGCGUAUGGAGAGUCAGCUGUAGACAAACACACAGCCUCGUUGAUUACAGGCAUGACGCGUAUGUGGCAUUUGGCAUCCGCCUUGGUCCUAUGGACCGCCAUCGUCUUCCCCCUCACAGUCGACGGGUGCUCGGAGCCGCUGGGCCUGAUGACGGGG